UACGUAGGGCGCAAGCGUUAUCCGGAAUUAUUGGGCGUAAAGAGCUCGUAGGCGGUUUGUCGCGUCUGCUGUGAAAUCCCGAGGCUCAACCUCGGGUCUGCAGUGGGUACGGGCAGACUGGAGUGCGGUAGGGGAGAAUGGAAUUCCUGGUGUAGCGGUGGAAUGCGCAGAUAUCAGGAGGAACACCGAUGGCGAAGGCAGUUCUCUGGGCCGUAACUGACGCUGAGGAGCGAAAGCGUGGGGAGCGAACAGG
RNAcentral lists this ribosomal RNA (253 nucleotides) under uncultured bacterium. Its description in RNAcentral is "partial 16S ribosomal RNA". It matches the Rfam family "Bacterial small subunit ribosomal RNA", at positions 524 to 776 of the family's 1533-position model. The record is from RNAcentral.